This is a transfer RNA of Trametes versicolor FP-101664 SS1, 104 nucleotides long. It matches the Rfam family "tRNA". From Rfam's summary of the family: Transfer RNA (tRNA) molecules are approximately 80 nucleotides in length. Their secondary structure includes four short double-helical elements and three loops (D, anti-codon, and T loops). Lineage: Eukaryota; Fungi; Basidiomycota; Agaricomycetes; Polyporales; Polyporaceae. The record is from Rfam.
GCCCGCUUAGCUCAGUGGUAGAGCGCGCCACUUGUAUGGUUCAGAUUCGUAAGGACUUGGACUCAGCAAUGGUGAGGUCAGUCGUUCAAACCGGCUAGUGGGCA